CAGCCCGCCUCCGGGGCAGCUUGUUGGGCUCUCCCCCGCCCCUUCUGGCAGAGCAGGUCGCAGGGAGCUCGGGUUUCUGCCGAGGACCCGCGUUGCCGGGCCGCCCGCGCUCUGCCGGCUCGGCAAAUAGGCCUUUCCCGCUUGCUGAGAAAGGGAAAAGCGCGUGGCCGGGGCCGUGCGGACAGCGAGUGUGUUCGUGUCGAGGGAGCCAGGUCGUCCCCCAGGAGCCAAACUGCGCCUGACCACGGCGUAAACCUUGCCCGGCCGCUCCCAGGCGGAGAAUAGGUUCUGGGGAAGUGGAGCCUGGAAUCCGCGGCCGACAUCCCCAGAGGUGGCGCGGCUGCUGGGAGCCCGCGGGUAGCCGCGAGAAGCAGGCCGCGGGAAGCUCUGCGCCUCUCCUCCAAAGAGGAGCUUGGAAGUUCUGAACCCUUUACUUUAAAGUGAUUGAGCUUGUUCCAUUGGACAGCGGCUCCACCCUGUCCCAACCGCCGUCACCUUCCCUUGUCACUCUAAGUGUGCGUGUAAGACGCUCACGACUCGCGGACGGUGCGUUUGGAGACUGUGCUGCAAACGGGAGCAUCCAGCGCCUGAGCUGCUGUCGCGAUUUUGGAUGAGUUCUGAUGUGAGAACCCAGACCUAGAGGAUUGGUUUGUGCUUUUUUGCCCCCAGCCCUGUAGGUUAAAGUCGCUAGUGAUAGCUUUUCCCAUGAAAUCUGUCCUUCCGUGCCUGCCUCCCUUCAAGGAAGUCCUCGCAGGAGCCGGGCUCCACCCUGGGAGCCUGCGGGGAAAUGAGGAUAAAGGCUCAAGGCCUUCACGAGUUGAGAUGAUUAUUAAUUUGGGCUGCUCAGAGCGAGUGUUCGACGC
RNAcentral lists this long non-coding RNA (863 nucleotides) under Marmota monax (woodchuck). The record is from RNAcentral. Lineage: Eukaryota; Metazoa; Chordata; Mammalia; Rodentia; Sciuridae.